Molecule: small nucleolar RNA, 108 nt
Organism: Artibeus jamaicensis (Jamaican fruit-eating bat)
Lineage: Eukaryota; Metazoa; Chordata; Mammalia; Chiroptera; Phyllostomidae
Product: small nucleolar RNA SNORD46
Exons: 1
Source: RefSeq, a predicted model, not a curated record
AACCAGAAUGAUGAAAAAAACAUCCUUAGGCGUGCGUGGUGUGGCCGUCUUGGUCACCUAUGUGCCACGUGCCAAUGCUAGGACUUGUCAUAGUUACACUGACUGUUU